GAUGAACGCUGGCGGCGUGCUUAACACAUGCAAGUCGAACGGAAAGGCCCAAGCUUGCUUGGGUACUCGAGUGGCGAACGGGUGAGUAACACGUGGGUGAUCUGCCCUGCACUUCGGGAUAAGCCUGGGAAACUGGGUCUAAUACCGGAUAGGGCCACAUUUUGGAUGGUGUGGUGGAAAGUUUUUCGGUGUGGGAUGAGCUCGCGGCCUAUCAGCUUGUUGGUGGGGUAAUGGCCUACCAAGGCGUCGACGGGUAGCCGGCCUGAGAGGGUGUACGGCCACAUUGGGACUGAGAUACGGCCCAGACUCCUACGGGAGGCAGCAGUGGGGAAUAUUGCACAAUGGGCGCAAGCCUGAUGCAGCGACGCCGCGUGGGGGAUGACGGCCUUCGGGUUGUAAACUCCUUUCGCUAGGGACGAAGCGUUAUGUGACGGUACCUGGAGAAGAAGCACCGGCUAACUACGUG
Molecule: ribosomal RNA, 466 nt
Filed under: uncultured bacterium
Lineage: Bacteria
Description: partial 16S ribosomal RNA
Rfam family: Bacterial small subunit ribosomal RNA
Source: RNAcentral